RNAcentral lists this ribosomal RNA (491 nucleotides) under Halobacillus sp. V3-161. Its description in RNAcentral is "bacterial SSU rRNA". It matches the Rfam family "Bacterial small subunit ribosomal RNA", at positions 36 to 496 of the family's 1533-position model. The record is from RNAcentral. Lineage: Bacteria; Bacillati; Bacillota; Bacilli; Caryophanales; Bacillaceae.
CUGGCGGCGUCCCUAAUACAUCCAAGUGAAGCGCGGGAAGCGAGCGGAUCCCCUUCGGGGGUGAAGCUCGUGGAACGAGCGGCGGACGGGUGAGUAACACGUGGGCAACCUCCCUGUAAGAUCGGAAUAACCCCGGGAAACCGGGGCUAAUGCCGGGUAACACUUUCCUCCGCAUGGAGGAGAGUUGAAAGAUGGCUUUUAGCUAUCACUUACAGAUGGGCCCGCGGCGCAUUAGCUAGUUGGUGAGGUAACGGCUCACCAAGGCAACGAUGCGUAGCCGACCUGAGAGGGUGAUCGGGGGCACUGGGACUGAGACACGGCCCAGACUCCUACGGGAGGCAGCAGUAGGGAAUCUUCCGCAAUGGACGAAAGUCUGACGGAGCAACGCCGCGUGAACGAUGAAGGUUUUCGGAUCGUAAAGUUCUGUUGUUAGGGAAGAACAAAUACCGUGCGAAUAGAGCGUACCGACAGACCUAACGAGGAAGUCCGCA